GACGAACGCUGGCGGCGCGCCUAACACAUGCAAGUCGAACGGAGUUUCUAAGACCAAUCUCUUCGGAGUGCGGUUUUUGAAACUUAGUGGCGGACGGGUGAGUAACACGUGAGCAACCUGCCCUUAAGAGAGGAAUAACGUUUGGAAACGAACGCUAAUGCCUCAUAACAUAACCGGAUGGCAUCGUCUGGUUAUCAAAGGAGCAAUCCGCUUAAGGAUGGGCUCGCGUCCGAUUAGAUAGUUGGUGAGGUAACGGCUCACCAAGUCGACGAUCGGUAGCCGGACUGAGAGGUUGAACGGCCACAUUGGGACUGAGACACGGCCCAGACUCCUACGGGAGGCAGCAGUGGGGAAUAUUGGGCAAUGGGCGCAAGCCUGACCCAGCGACGCCGCGUGAGGGAAGAAGGUUUUCGGAUUGUAAACCUCUGUCUUUGGUGACGAUAAUGACGGUAACCAAAGAGGAAGCUACGGCUAACUACGUGCCAGCAGCCGCGGUAAUACGUAGGUGGCAAGCGUUGUCCGGAAUUACUGGGUGUAAAGGGAGCGUAGGCGGGAAGACAAGUUGAAUGUUUAAACUAUCGGCUUAACCGGUAGUCGCGUUCAAAACUGUUUUUCUUGAGUGAAGUAGAGGCAGGCGGAAUUCCUAGUGUAGCGGUGAAAUGCGUAGAUAUUAGGAGGAACACCAGUGGCGAAGGCG
RNAcentral lists this ribosomal RNA (697 nucleotides) under uncultured Lachnospiraceae bacterium. Its description in RNAcentral is "bacterial SSU rRNA". It matches the Rfam family "Bacterial small subunit ribosomal RNA", at positions 28 to 723 of the family's 1533-position model. Lineage: Bacteria; Bacillati; Bacillota; Clostridia; Lachnospirales; Lachnospiraceae. The record is from RNAcentral.